GAUGAACGCUGGCGGCGUGCCUAAUACAUGCAAGUCGAGCGAACAGACGAGGAGCUUGCUCCUCUGACGUUAGCGGCGGACGGGUGAGUAACACGUGGAUAACCUACCUAUAAGACUGGGAUAACUUCGGGAAACCGGAGCUAAUACCGGAUAAUAUAUUGAACCGCAUGGUUCAAUAGUGAAAGACGGUUUUGCUGUCACUUAUAGAUGGAUCCGCGCCGCAUUAGCUAGUUGGUAAGGUAACGGCUUACCAAGGCAACGAUGCGUAGCCGACCUGAGAGGGUGAUCGGCCACACUGGAACUGAGACACGGUCCAGACUCCUACGGGAGGCAGCAGUAGGGAAUCUUCCGCAAUGGGCGAAAGCCUGACGGAGCAACGCCGCGUGAGUGAUGAAGGUCUUCGGAUCGUAAAGCUCUGUUAUUAGGGAAGAACAAAUGUGUAAGUAACUAUGCACGUCUUGACGGUACCUAAUCAGAAAGCCACGGCUAACUGCGUG
This 497-nucleotide ribosomal RNA is filed under the name uncultured bacterium. RNAcentral describes it as "partial 16S ribosomal RNA". It matches the Rfam family "Bacterial small subunit ribosomal RNA", at positions 28 to 507 of the family's 1533-position model. The record is from RNAcentral.